UUGUCGAUAAAGUAUUUCCCUUAAUUCAUGGCUACAUAGUUACAUGAGCGAUUGAUUAUAUAAUACAUUUAAAUGACACUAUAAGUUGUAUUAGUCUUUUAUUAAAUUUUCAUUUUUACGAAUCUUGAUUUGCUAGCUAGUGUCUGUUUAUCACCAAAAAUGAACAAUCAAACGGACAAGCUGCCUUUCUCAACGCUCACAACUCAAUAGA
RNAcentral lists this long non-coding RNA (211 nucleotides) under Brassica rapa (field mustard). RNAcentral's name for it is "long non-coding RNA (BRAP_LNC004509)". The record is from RNAcentral. Lineage: Eukaryota; Viridiplantae; Streptophyta; Magnoliopsida; Brassicales; Brassicaceae.